GAUGGCCGGGGCUCUUGAGCUAUAAGUGGCACCUCAGGGCCCUGACGGGCGUCUCGCCAUGCUGCUCCUGGGCCUGCUGCUGCUGCUGCCCCUGCUGGCUGGCGCCCGCCUGCUGUGGAACUGGUGGAAGCUCCGGAGCCUCCACCUCCCGCCUCUUGCCCCGGGCUUCUUGCACCUGCUGCAGCCUGACCUCCCCAUCUAUCUGCUUGGCCUGACUCAGAAAUUCGGGCCCAUCUACAGGCUCCACCUUGGGCUGCAAGGUGAGAGGCUGAUCUCGCUCUGGCCCUCACCAUAGGAGGGGGCGGAGGUGACGGAGAGGGUCCUCUCUCCGCUGACGCUGCUUUGGCUGUCUCCCAGAUGUGGUGGUGCUGAACUCCAAGAGGACCAUUGAGGAAGCCAUGGUCAAAAAGUGGGCAGACUUUGCUGGCAGACCUGAGCCACUUACCUACAAGCUGGUGUCUAAGAACUACCCGGACCUGUCCUUGGGAGACUACUCCCUGCUCUGGAAAGCCCACAAGAAGCUCACCCGCUCAGCCCUGCUGCUGGGCAUCCGUGACUCCAUGGAGCCAGUGGUGGAGCAGCUGACCCAGGAGUUCUGCGAGCGCAUGAGAGCCCAGCCCGGCACCCCUGUGGCCAUUGAGGAGGAAUUCUCUCUCCUUACCUGCAGCAUCAUCUGUUACCUCACCUUCGGAGACAAGAUCAAGGAGGUGUUAAAAACCUGGAGCCACUGGUCCAUCCAAAUUGUGGACGUGAUUCCCUUUCUCAGGUUCUUCCCCAAUCCAGGUCUCCGGAGGCUGAAGCAGGCCAUAGAGAAGAGGGACCACAUCGUGGAGAAGCAGCUGAGGCAGCACAAGGCGAGCCUGGUGGCAGGCCAGUGGAGGGACAUGAUGGACUACAUGCUCCAAGGGGUGGCGCAGCCGAGCAUGGAAGAGGGCUCUGGACAGCUCCUGGAAGGGCACGUGCACAUGGCUGCAGUGGACCUCCUGAUCGGUGGCACUGAGACCACAGCAAACACCCUCUCCUGGGCCGUGGUUUUUUUGCUUCACCACCCUGAGAUUCAGCAGCGACUGCAGGAGGAGCUAGACCACGAACUGGGCCCUGGUGCCUCCAGCUCCCGGGUCCCCUACAAGGACCGUGCACGGCUGCCCUUGCUCAAUGCCACCAUCGCCGAGGUGCUGCGCCUGCGGCCCGUUGUGCCCUUAGCCUUGCCCCACCGCACCACACGGCCCAGCAGCAUCUCCGGCUACGACAUCCCUGAGGGCACAGUCAUCAUUCCGAACCUCCAAGGCGCCCACCUGGAUGAGACGGUCUGGGAGAGGCCACAUGAGUUCUGGCCUGAUCGCUUCCUGGAGCCAGGCAAGAACUCCAGAGCUCUGGCCUUCGGCUGCGGUGCCCGCGUGUGCCUGGGCGAGCCGCUGGCGCGCCUGGAGCUCUUCGUGGUGCUGACCCGACUGCUGCAGGCCUUCACGCUGCUGCCCUCCGGGGACGCCCUGCCCUCCCUGCAGCCCCUGCCCCACUGCAGUGUCAUCCUCAAGAUGCAGCCUUUCCAAGUGCGGCUGCAGCCCCGGGGGAUGGGGGCCCACAGCCCGGGCCAGAGCCAGUGAUGGGGCAGGACCGAUGCCAGCCGGGUACCUCAGUUUCUCCUUUAUUGCUCCCAUAUGAACCCCUCCCCUCCCCCCUGUAAACACAGUGCUGCGAGAUCGCUGGCAGAGAAGGCUUCCUCCAGCGGCUGGGUGGUGAAGGACCCUGGCUCUUCUCUCAGGGCGACCCCUCAGUGCUCGGCAGUCAUACUGGGGUGCGAGAGAGGUGGGCAGCAGCUCAGCCUCCCCCCGCUGGGGAGCGAAAGUUUCUUGGUCUCAGCUUCAUUUCCGUGAAGGGCACCGAGAACUCGAAGCCCUUCCAGUGGUACCAGCUCACUCCCUGGGAAAGGGGUUGUCAAGAGAGAGUCAAAGCCGGAUGUCCCAUCUGCUCCUCCCGUUCCCCUUAAGGAGGUGGCUCCCAGCACUCAACCAACCUCCCCGCAGAGCUCCCCUCCUGACCCUCCACUGCAGAGGAUUGAGGCUUAAUCCUGAGCUGGUCCUUUCCAGCCAAUAAAUCAACUCCAGCUCCCUC
Molecule: small RNA, 2112 nt
Filed under: Pan troglodytes (chimpanzee)
Lineage: Eukaryota; Metazoa; Chordata; Mammalia; Primates; Hominidae
Description: retained intron
Source: RNAcentral